CAGAACAGUGCCUGGGAAAGUUUGGGGGAAAGAAAACAGAGAAACAAAGGCAUCCGAAGAUUGAGGAACCCGGUCAUGGUCCUAUGGCACAUAGUCACAGGCAUUCUUGAAAUGUUU
This is a long non-coding RNA of Lemur catta (Ring-tailed lemur), 117 nucleotides long. RefSeq lists it as uncharacterized. Lineage: Eukaryota; Metazoa; Chordata; Mammalia; Primates; Lemuridae. The transcript is spliced from 3 exons. The record is from RefSeq and is a predicted model, not a curated record.